CCCCUACGGAUGCAGGAGGUCUUAACCCAGCGCUAAUCAGCUGACUCUUCCUAAGGUAGAAUAAUGCAGAGGUCGCAGCGAAUGGCGGGCAGUUCUAGCAUCCGUCCUAUGAGCAGAUUUGGUUUGUCAUGCUGUAUUGACCCAUACAGUAUUGAGUAUUUUUUAGAUUAGUUACCGACACUUAAAUGCAAAGACUUCUUAUUAAAGAUCCAGGUUUCUUGCUUUUCUUCAAACACUGGACAGUUUGGUAUGACCAGCCCACACAGUCCCCUGGUGAUCAUCAGUCACAGCCACCUUCUUUGUGGCUAUAUGUAGUCACUACAUACCCAGGUCUCCCUUUUUGUUUCCCCGACUGUAAUCACAUUUGCACUGAUUUUGUUACAAUAAAAAGGAAAAUGAGAAUUUAAUACCUAUGUCUGUCUCGAAGCAGAAAAAUGGAAGAUACAGUGAAGGAGCCGCCUGUCUCAAGGACAACGAGCCUGAACGCAGAUCUUGCCAUUGCAGCACUUAGAGAAAUUGCUUGGUCUCUCCAGCACCUUGAAUUUCGCAGCUGGAAGAGGCCCGCCUUUGAAGGUUUCUCCUCACUUCCUUAAGAUUAGAAGACCUAAUUUGGCUAAUUGAUUUAGUCAGUAAUGAGCACCAAACGCUGAAUAGAAGACUUCAUCAAAGCACUUCUAACAAAGAAGUUAGACCAGUCCCUGAAACUGAAAUCUGCAAAUAUCGUGAUCAUUUUUCUGGGCUUCAGACACACCAGCAUAACCUUAGUCAUUCUCUAUGUCACCUGAGUUAGAGAUUCAUUCUGGAGCCGAGCUUCAGAUCAAAUUGCUUUCUCCCAGAGAUAAAGAAGCUGGGCCUGGCCCGGGCUGGAGCUGGGCGGGAGCUGCUGCCGGAGCCGCAGCAGCAGCCGAAGCCGCUGGGAGCCGGGGCUGGAGCGCAGGCGCUGCCGGAGCCCAGCUGAGCUGAGCCGAGCCGAGCCGGCCACCUUCUAUUGCCCGAAGCACGCGCCGAUGUGUCAGGCAGCUGCAGGGCCCGGGCGCUGUCGGAGGUAGCGAGCCGCGACCACCGAGCACCACCGGGCGUGGGAACCCGGAUCGCCCCUGCCAGGCCUGGGCACGGCCUGAACACGCAGGAGGUUCGAAGGGAAAAAGGAAAGUGGAUUCCAUCUGAGCAUUGCGUGGGCACUGGGCGGGGAGAAGAGUGGAGGUUUCACCUGGCACGGGGCAGAGGUGCGCCCAGCUUACUAGGCCAGGCUUGAGGACCAGAGAGCCUGGCAUCCCCGCAGCCACGACCUGGACUCUGCCCUGCUGGAACCAUAGACACAGUCAGCGUAGCUCCUGGACCUCAGCUGGCCCAGGCCUGGCACAAGAAGCAGUGCCCUCACCUGUCUGAGACCUGGCCAGGAUCUGAGGGCCCAGGAUCUGGCCUGACCCAAAGUGGGGCUCUCUGGUGGCUCAGAGCUGGUCACUGGGGAGCCCGCCUCCUGCCCCAGCCCCUCUGGUAUGGAUGUGCCACUGCUGGCUGGAGCACCAUGAUGGCAGGAUGACCUCAGUUGAGGCAGUGGCAGUGACUGCUGACAGUGCUCUGGUGGCUGGGUCCCCCGAGUGGCCCACUGAUUCCCCCUCACGCCCUUGGGCGGCCUGGCCAGCCCAGGUGGCCAUGGCAGCACUAGUGUGACUGCUGGCAGCCAUCUGCCUCUGUGGCCUUAGGUCUGUUCCACAGAGUGCCCUGCUGCAAGAGGAGAGGCUGGACGCAGUGAGCCUACUGUGCGCCACCUCACUGCCCAGCUUCUGCCCGCUAGCACAGGCUGCCCUGGUGCUGGAGGCUGGUGUGACACUGCUGCCAGCUCCCACUGACUCCUGCCUCUGGGCCUGCAUCCUGCUCAGCUGUCUCCUGUCUGUGCUCUACAACCUGGCUAGCUUCUCCUGCUCGCCCUCACCUCUGCCCUCACUGUCCACAUCCUGGGAGACCUCACUGUCAUGGGCAACCUCAUUCUCUCCUGGCUCCUGUUUGGCAGCUGCCUCAGCACCCUCAGCUAUGUGGGCAUCACACUCACUCUUUCAGGAAUGUUCCUUUACCACAACUGCGAAUUCAUGACCUCCUGGGCUGUCCGCCAGGGUUUCUCAUGGAGAGACCAUCCUGGCAAGGGUCUUUGAGACCUGGAGGAGUGCGUGGGUCACCUGAGGCAGCCCCAGCCUGAAUCCAGCCUUGGACAGUGGCCAUGGGAAAAGUGGAGAGCAGGGAGCUGCUGGGACCAGUGAGGGAGAAGGGCCUUCUGGAAGGGCCACCUUGGAGGCUGGAAUGGGGACUCCCAGAGAGACCUACCUCCUGUCCCUGCCUGUCUCUCCUCAUCACAGACCCCACUAACCACUGGAUGGUGGGUCCAAGCCUGGCACAGUCACUGUGCUUGUUGGAGUAAUUAUUAUGAUUACUAUCAACUACUACACUGAAAACUGCUGGCCAAACUUUGGAAACCUCACCAUGUUCUGAUGGCAACGAUCUUGGUGGUUGCACAGUCCUUCCUCCAGGAAGUAGGG
Equus caballus (horse) is the source of this 2534-nucleotide long non-coding RNA. NCBI's taxonomy places the organism in Eukaryota, Metazoa, Chordata, Mammalia, Perissodactyla, Equidae. The record is from Ensembl.